This 736-nucleotide long non-coding RNA is filed under the name Rattus norvegicus (Norway rat). RNAcentral describes it as "long non-coding RNA NONRATT010514". Lineage: Eukaryota; Metazoa; Chordata; Mammalia; Rodentia; Muridae. The record is from RNAcentral.
GCGUCAGAAUAAGGCUGUAAAGGUGGAACUCUGUUUUCUAUAACAGAUUUUCAAGUAAUCUGAAUGAGACAACAACCUUCUGGAGCUGUUUCCGUGUUGCUGAGGUUGGUGCCCUGAAAACAAUCUACUUCCGUGUUUCCAACUGCACUCCUUCCGGGCCAUCAGUGAAGAGUAAGGAGAGCCCAGAGAGGGAAGAGCCUGUAAGCAGGGCUUUGGUUACAGUCCCCCAACGAAGCACUGCAGCUGGCCUCUCUACAGGCCGGCAAGGCCGGCAGCACUGUUGGAACCUCCGCCUUGCAGCUCUCCAGUUGUCUUCCCUCCCUGUUCCCAGUGGCAAGAGUACAGCAGCUGCUAACACACUGCUCCAUUACUUCAGUAAGGAUUUCCUUUCGCGUCUUAUGUCUGCUUGACUAUAUGCUUCUUCCUCCAUCUCUACCCCAGGCAGGGCCUCCCCCUGGACGGCCUAGAACUCACUGCGGGCAGACUGGCCUCAGACUUGUAGGAUAGUGGAUCAUACCAGGAAAUUUGGUAAGGUGGAGUGGGGUCUGUUCCCCAGGCAUACACACCUGAGAUGGUAUGCAGCUCUGCUCCCUGCCAAAUCCCUGGCCUGCCAGACUUCCCACAUAAGAAAACAUGAGGCCUCAACAGUUCUCCAUGCUAAUGAGGUACCUAGAGGCCCUGCAAAAGGUGUCUGAUCCAUUUUCCAUGACGAACAACCAAUAAAGAGUUUGGAACC